UCUCCCAGCGGUUUCAUGUAGAUGUUAAAAAGCAUUGGAGAAAGUAUGGAGCCUUGAGGGACACCAUAAGCUCAGAUUUUGAAGAACAGCAGUCUCCAAUCGACACCAUCUUGUAUCUAUCUGAGAGGUAGGAGUGGAACCACUGUAAAACAGUGCCUCCCACCCCAAACCCCCUCAGACAUUCCAGAAGGAUACUAUGGUCAAUAGUAUCGAAAGCCGCCGAGAGAUCCAAAAGGACCAACAGAGUCACACUUCCUCUGUCAAUUCCCAAUUGGAGAUCAUCCAUCAGGCCGACCAAAGCAGUCUCCAUCCCAUAGCCUGCCUGAAAACCAGUUUGAAAUGGGUCCAGAUAAUCAGUUUCCUCCAAGACUGCCUGAAGCUGAGAGGCUACCACCCUCUCAAUGACCUUGCCCAGCCAUGGGAGAUUGGAAACAGGCCUAUAAUUGCUCAGCUCUGAGGGAUCUAAUGCAGGCUUCUUUAGAAGAGGUCUAAUGAUUGCCUCCUUAAGACAAGGAGGCAUCCUGCCCUCAGAGAAGCAUUUAUGAUUUCCACCAGGCUGUUUACAACAAACUCCCUGCUAGAUCAAGCAAGCCAUGUUGGACAAGGGUCAAGAGAACAAGUGGUAAGCCUCACUGCUCCAAGCAGCUUGUCCACAUCCUCAGGAGUCACAAACUGAAACUGAUCCAGUCGAAUCACAUAAGAGGAGUCGUUGGGCACCUCCAGCUCAGACAUCAAAUUAAUUGUGGAGUCUCCAUCUAGGUCGGCCCGAAUCCGAGAGAUUUUAUCUGUGAAAAACUCUUUAAACACAUCACAGCAGGUAACUGAUGACUCCAAAUUCUGGUUCCGGGGGUGGUGGUUGUGGCAGAUCCUAAUCUCCUCACAACCCUGAACAACUCAACUGGAUGUGAACUCGCAGAGGCAAUACAGGCAGAAAAGAACUGCCUCUUUGCCGCACGUAUUGCCUGAGCAUAGAUGUUUAGAUGUGCUCUAUGUCGCAAUCUGUCAGAUUCAAGUCGAGUCCACUUGCACUUCAGCCCCCGUAGAUCUUCCGUAUAUCAAGGGGCUAAAUUUGAAGCGGGUCAGAGGGGACGCUUGGGAGCAAUCGUGUCUACUGCCCUGGUGAGCAAGUUGUUCCAAUUCUCAACCAGGGCAUCAACAAGAUCACCAGCAAAGCCAACAUUAAAUCUCUCCAAGGCUUCUUGGAAUCUUAGUGGAUCCAAUAACCUCGAAUGGAACCGGGCCAGUUUGGUCCGGUCCAUGUGGGUUCCUUCGCGCCCCACUGGCCUUCCUCAUCACUGCUGCAGCCGGUCAUAGACAUAACUCUCUUCCAAGCAAAGAAGCAAUAUCUUUGGAUUUCCAGCUGAUCAAACUGAGGAAGCUGUCUGGGAUCCAUCUUGGCAGGAAGAACCAAAGAUUCUGAGAUUAUUGCCUCCUCUUCACAGGCAACCUAACAGGCACAGCUUGGAAACCAAGCUGGUCCAAAAC
This is a long non-coding RNA of Hemicordylus capensis (graceful crag lizard), 1485 nucleotides long. RefSeq lists it as uncharacterized. The transcript has 3 exons. Lineage: Eukaryota; Metazoa; Chordata; Lepidosauria; Squamata; Cordylidae. The record is from RefSeq and is a predicted model, not a curated record.